GUAUUCAACAAUGGAGAGAGUUGUCGGAUGUAUUCCUACAUUUCGAUCUCUUGAAUUAAAUACCCCUUCAAUAAUUAGGGCCAACCCAAGCUUGUAACGAUCAUUACGGUUGGCACAUUUCAAAAAAACUUUCUCCAGGUCGCUACAAGUUAUCCGGUCUAUAUUAGCAAACAUUCUAUCCUGUAGACAGGUUUUCUCUACGAUUUUGUCAACUUCGGUAUCUUUAGACACUGGAUUACACUUCAAGCCGAUAAUUAGUGCGAACUCCGGUAGUCCAAAUCGUGCAAACCUUUGGUUUACCUUGAACCAAGCCUCAAACCGCUUUUGGCAGACUACCAAUCUGUUUACCAUUUCAUGAAUUAAUUGAGCGGAUAGUUUUAGCUCUGAUAACCUUGCAACAUGUCCUAUACAACUCUCCUCCAACUGACGCUUUUGUUGUGGAUCCAAUUUGUUGAAGACAACUGAUAUGUAUUUUGUGUUGCUCACCUGCGACACAUGGGCCGGAACACGUUCUUCCUCCGAAAUUUUAUAUCGGUGUGUCAUACUCAUCUACAAAUCAAAACAAAUGAAAACAACACUUU
This 581-nucleotide long non-coding RNA is filed under the name Olea europaea subsp. europaea. Lineage: Eukaryota; Viridiplantae; Streptophyta; Magnoliopsida; Lamiales; Oleaceae. The record is from RNAcentral.